GACGAACGCUGGCGGCGUGCUUAACACAUGCAAGUCGAACGGAAAGGCCCUGCUUUUGUGGGGUGCUCGAGUGGCGAACGGGUGAGUAACACGUGAGUAACCUGCCCUUGACUUUGGGAUAACGUCAGGAAACUGGGGCUAAUACCGGAUAGGAGCGCCUGCUGCGUGGGGGGGGUUGGAAAGUUUCGGCGGUUGGGGAUGGACUCGCGGCUUAUCAGCUUGUUGGUGGGGUAGUGGCUUACCAAGGCUUUGACGGGUAGCCGGCCUGCGAGGGUGACCGGCCACAUUGGGACUGCGAUACGGCCCAGACUCCUACGGGAGGCAGCAGUGGGGAAUAUUGCACAAUGGGAGGAAGCCUGCUGCAGCAACGCCGCGUGCGGGAUGACGGCCUUCGGGUUGUAAACCGCUUUCGCCUGUGACGAAGCGUGAGUGACGGUAAUGGGUAAAGAAGCACCGGCUAACUACGUG
RNAcentral lists this ribosomal RNA (468 nucleotides) under uncultured bacterium. Its description in RNAcentral is "partial 16S ribosomal RNA". It matches the Rfam family "Bacterial small subunit ribosomal RNA", at positions 28 to 507 of the family's 1533-position model. The record is from RNAcentral.